UACGGAGGGUGCAAGCGUUAUCCGGAUUUACUGGGUUUAAAGGGUGCGUAGGCGGGCCCUUAAGUCAGUGGUGAAAGCUCCGAGCUUAACUCGGAAACUGCCAUUGAUACUAUUGGUCUUGAAUUCGGUCGAGGUUGGCGGAAUGUGUCGUGUAGCGGUGAAAUGCUUAGAUAUGACACAGAACACCGAUUGCGAAGGCAGCUAGCUAGACCGACAUUGACGCUGAGGCACGAAAGCGUGGGGAUCAAACAGG
RNAcentral lists this ribosomal RNA (253 nucleotides) under uncultured bacterium. RNAcentral's name for it is "partial 16S ribosomal RNA". It matches the Rfam family "Bacterial small subunit ribosomal RNA", at positions 524 to 776 of the family's 1533-position model. The record is from RNAcentral.